This is a long non-coding RNA of Colossoma macropomum (tambaqui), 463 nucleotides long. RefSeq lists it as uncharacterized. Lineage: Eukaryota; Metazoa; Chordata; Actinopteri; Characiformes; Serrasalmidae. The transcript has 3 exons. The record is from RefSeq and is a predicted model, not a curated record.
AAUAAAAAGUCUACAGGUGUUAAAACAUAACUCUCUGGGUCUUUUCGUCCUGAAGCUGAGACACACUAAUAUCUAUGAGACGAAUGUGGGCUGGGGAAGGAAAGGCCUCAGCCCCAAACACAACAGAUCCCAUCAGUUCUACACAGAGCGCCUCUGCACCCAUUUCCAGCGCACAGUCACCGCAGCCCUCAACAGGGUGAUGCAGGUAAAAUCUGCCAAAGGCGCUUUUGACGUAAGGAGAAGAAAAGCUUUACAGACUCGAAUUAAUGAGGAAAUUCAGCUUCACCUUAGACAUGGAAAAUCACUUGCACAGGGAUUUGAGUUUAGACAAGACUUCUUGCUGGAGGUGAGAAACACUCUGGUAAAGUCACCCCCCUCCCAGAAUGCUGUGCUGCUGCUCGGGGAGCCAGGAUCUGGGAAGAGCACCAUCAUGGCCGAGGUUGCCCGGCUCAUACCCACCUGG